Molecule: ribosomal RNA, 253 nt
Filed under: uncultured bacterium
Lineage: Bacteria
Description: partial 16S ribosomal RNA
Rfam family: Bacterial small subunit ribosomal RNA
Source: RNAcentral
GACAGAGGCCCCGAGCGUUAGUCGGAAUCACUGGGCUUAAAGGGUGCGUAGGCGGAUUGUUAAGUCAGGGGUGAAAUCCUGGAGCUCAACUCCAGAACUGCCUUUGAUACUGGCGAUCUCGAGUCCGGGAGAGGUGAGUGGAACUGCGAGUGUAGAGGUGAAAUUCGUAGAUAUUCGCAAGAACACCAGUGGCGAAGGCGGCUCACUGGCCCGGUACUGACGCUGAGGUGCGAAAGCGUGGGGAGCAAACAGG